AUCAUCUGGUCUAUUAUUUUGCCUUUCUAUGGUAUUUAUAAGAACAUUAAUUUCUUGGUCAGAGUCUGAUAUGUCUAAGGGAUUGUAUAUGGUUUCAUCAUCUGAAGAAGAAGAAGUUUCAUUAUAUUCAGUUAGAAUGGUUAUUUUUCCUUUAUCUUUAUUAGUACUUGGUUCUUCUAUCUUUAUUCCUCCUGAGGUGCUAGUUUUUGGAGACAUACUCUGUUCAUUUAUUAUUUUGUGUAAUAAUUUUGACAUAUCACUCAAUUCUGUCUUUGGAUUUAUUGUUACUGUAUCUAUUGGAUUCUGAGAUGGUGGUAUCAUUUUUUAAAUGGUUUAUUUACUUGUUUUCGAGCUGGAUCUAUAUCAUAUGGUUUUGGAUUGCUAUAUCUUUGAGAUAAAU
Molecule: long non-coding RNA, 400 nt
Filed under: Manihot esculenta (cassava)
Lineage: Eukaryota; Viridiplantae; Streptophyta; Magnoliopsida; Malpighiales; Euphorbiaceae
Description: long non-coding RNA (MESC_LNC002907)
Source: RNAcentral